This 135-nucleotide ribosomal RNA is filed under the name uncultured bacterium. RNAcentral's name for it is "partial 16S ribosomal RNA". It matches the Rfam family "Bacterial small subunit ribosomal RNA", at positions 355 to 507 of the family's 1533-position model. The record is from RNAcentral.
UGGGGAGUAUUGGACAAUGGGCGAAAGCCUGAUCCAGCAAUGCCGCGUGAGUGAUGAAGGCCCUAGGGUUGUAAAGCUCUUUUACCCGGGAUGAUAAUGACAGUACCGGGAGAAUAGGCUCCGGCUAACUCCGUG